UACGUAGGGGCCGAGCGUUGUCCGGAGUUAUUGGGCGUAAAGCGCGCGCAGGCGGCCUCGCGCGCCCGACGUGAAAGCCCCCGGCUUAACCGGGGAGGGUCGUUGGGGACGGCGGGGCUUGAGGGCGGGAGAGGGUGGUGGAAUUCCCGGUGUAGUGGUGAAAUGCGUAGAGAUCGGGAGGAACACCGGUGGCGAAGGCGGUGGUCUGGGCCGGCACUGACGCUGAGGAGCGAAAGCGUGGGGAGCGAACAGG
This 253-nucleotide ribosomal RNA is filed under the name uncultured bacterium. Its description in RNAcentral is "partial 16S ribosomal RNA". It matches the Rfam family "Bacterial small subunit ribosomal RNA", at positions 524 to 776 of the family's 1533-position model. The record is from RNAcentral.